GCAGGAGUGGCGGAAUGGCAGACGCGCUAGUUUCAGGUUCUAGUGAGAUUUUCUCGUGUGGGUUCAAGUCCCAUUUCCUGUACCA
RNAcentral lists this transfer RNA (85 nucleotides) under Thomasclavelia ramosa. RNAcentral's name for it is "Erysipelatoclostridium ramosum tRNA-Ser(cag)". It matches the Rfam family "tRNA". Rfam says of the family: Transfer RNA (tRNA) molecules are approximately 80 nucleotides in length. Their secondary structure includes four short double-helical elements and three loops (D, anti-codon, and T loops). Lineage: Bacteria; Bacillati; Bacillota; Erysipelotrichia; Erysipelotrichales; Coprobacillaceae. The record is from RNAcentral. RNAcentral also lists the same sequence under 10 other names.